CUAAAUUGGAAGAGUGGACUGCCUUCUCAGUUGCUGUUGUGAACUCCUCCUUGGUGGAGUCUGCUGUCUUGUCUUGUUUUGUCUUAUCUUGUUUUUAUUAAGUAGGCUUACCCUUUUCUUUGGGUUCGCCUGGUGUUCUAUUUUACCCUGGACUGUUGCUCGUACCCACACUUCUGUGAUCGGGCUGAAGUGAUUCUCUGCCCGAGUGUCGUGCUGGGACUCUAAAUCGCCUGGGUGGCCGGUCUCAGCCGGUGGGGAGCCAGACCGGCCUACGCCUGAGAAUAACUAUUACCAGCACGAGUGUGAAGGAGGACGAGCCAGUGGCCCUGGGACCUCAGGUGGUGGGUCGUUUUCACACUUUCUUUUGUACAGCACUGGGUGGUCUGCAGUGAUUCUUUUGGUGUGAUUUUCUUUUGGUUCCACGGCUGCUGCUGCUCCCUCCAGGGGUGCACAGAGCGGGUCAUCUGCCCAGAUCUCAACCUAUCGCUGUCACACCAACACUCUCGACUGCAUCCAUGAACUUCCUGUGGUUUCCAUCUUUUCCUCCUGCACUGCAGCUCCAUCCACAGUAUCCUUUGUCCAAAAUAUUCAUGAUCCGUCCUCUACACGUCCAAACCAGCUGAGUCUCCCCUUUCUUUGUUUUUAAUACAGCUUUCCAAAUUUUGACAUUUUAUCUUUAUAUAUUCAUUCAGAGGAUGAUGGUUUAUAAUCCUUACAGAGGUGCCUGCUACAUCUGACGUCACCUGUAUUUAUCAUUGUGAGGGAAGCCAAGCCUGCGACGGUGUGAGGACAGCAGAGCAGGAACUGAAAACUGAGCCCAUCUCUGGAUGAAUGAAAACAGCAGUGCAUCACUUCCUGUACCUACAUGCAGGCUGUGCUUUAAGAACCCCGAAACUAGGAGUACCGGUAUAUGAACAGUGCAGCCCUGCUGUGUGUUUACUCUGCUGAUGCAUGAAGUAGAACUAGCUACACCUGGAAGAUUAUUACAGUUAACCAGUUUGCCACUUUAACAGCAGUUAACUGGAAUAACAGACUAAACUGGUUCUGUGUAAAUACUGGAAAUGUCUUUGGCUUCUCAUUUUAUUUGCUUCUGUUUUCUGAUCCUAAUAAAAUGUUAUUUUAUUCAUAUUUUCACUUCUUUACUCCUUUGACAACUGAUAAUAGAGUACACAUUACAUAAUGUAUGCUGACAUGUUUUCUGCUUCUUCCUCACCAAUUUUAAAAUUUCUCACAUUUUUUUUGGGAAUGUUUGAUAAAAUCUACUCG
Molecule: long non-coding RNA, 1266 nt
Organism: Astatotilapia calliptera (eastern happy)
Lineage: Eukaryota; Metazoa; Chordata; Actinopteri; Cichliformes; Cichlidae
Source: Ensembl